AGCGUAGACGGAGCAGCAAGUCUGAUGUGAAAACCCGGGGCUCAACCCCGGGACUGCAUUGGAAACUGUUGAUCUGGAGUGCCGGAGAGGUAAGCGGAAUUCCUAGUGUAGCGGUGAAAUGCGUAGAUAUUAGGAGGAACACCAGUGGCGAAGGCGGCUUACUGGACGGUAACUGACGUUGAGGCUCGAAAGCGUGGGGAGCAAACA
Molecule: ribosomal RNA, 207 nt
Filed under: uncultured bacterium
Lineage: Bacteria
Description: partial 16S ribosomal RNA
Rfam family: Bacterial small subunit ribosomal RNA
Source: RNAcentral